Molecule: long non-coding RNA, 1121 nt
Filed under: Sinocyclocheilus anshuiensis
Lineage: Eukaryota; Metazoa; Chordata; Actinopteri; Cypriniformes; Cyprinidae
Description: lncRNA (ENSSANG00000034357.1)
Source: RNAcentral
ACCGAUUCCUGGCCUUCUAGGAAUUGGUACUCAAUACAGAAAAAAAAAAUAUUAUUUUUUGCUUCCUGUGGAAUAGAAGCUUGUGAGAGGGUGACUGUGAGUGAGUGAGUCUAUUUAUUAUUUGUGUGUGUGUGUUGAAAAGAGUGCCCGUUCCGAUCUGUUUGUCCAGACGUGACUUAUCAAUAUUUCUUGGUCCAAGGCAAGUCUCAAACAUAGUCCGGCCUCUUUUAUGAGAAUUUUGGGGAUUUUGGAGUGUGGCGCAUCAAUAAAAUAAAUAAAAAAGAAAGAAACGCCAAGAUGUGAACUUUUAAAAUAAGCAAAAAAUAAAUAAAUAAAUAAAAAAAUGACAACAAUCACGUCAAUGCCGGGGAAAAAAAAAAGUUUAAUUAGUGUGACUCUGUGUUUGUUUUAUUUUGUUAGUUGUGUAUCUAAAUCAGUGUCUCUUUCAUUUCCACAUAGAGAGGUUGCUGGAGAUUAGACUCAUCAGAUUCAUCUGUGCAGCUUCAUGAUGACUGAAUGAUUCAUGGAAGACACACAAAGAUCCGGAGAUGGAGAUUCUUCUCCAGGAAUUAGAAGCCCAAUCCAGCAGGAGAGAUCAGACCCUACAGAAGCCAGCUGUGUGUCUGUGAGGAGCGACAAGUCAUUUGAGCUUCUACCUGACUUUAAAAAUGAAAGCAUUCCUCCUGGUUUUAGAAGCCCAAUCCAGCAGGAGAGAUCAGACCCUACAGAAGCCAGCUGUGUGUCUGUGAGGAGCGACACGUCAUUUGAGCUUCUACCUGACUUUAAAAAUGAAAGCAUUCCUCCUGGUUUUAGACCAAUUAAGCGGAAAAGAUCCGACUCACUGGAACCCAGCUGUGUGUCUACGGAGAGUAAUCCAUCAAUGGCAGAUUCACUGCACAUUGGAGAUAACAGGAUAUCAUUUGAUUCUAGUGACCCUCAAAAUGCUGGUGCCCAUAACACACUCAAAUCAAAUCUGAUGAAGAAGUUUCAGUAUCUGUAUGAGGGAACAGCAAAGCAGGGAAACCCAACACUCCUGAAUGAGAUCUACACAGAGCUCUACAUCACAGAGAGUGAGAGUGGAGAGAUCAGUAAUGCGCAUGAGUUGAGACAGAUUGAGACAC